RNAcentral lists this ribosomal RNA (450 nucleotides) under uncultured bacterium. Its description in RNAcentral is "bacterial SSU rRNA". It matches the Rfam family "Bacterial small subunit ribosomal RNA", at positions 29 to 524 of the family's 1533-position model. The record is from RNAcentral.
AACGAACGCUGGCGGCAUGCCUAACACAUGCAAGUCGAACGAGACCUUCGGGUCUAGUGGCGCACGGGUGCGUAACGCGUGGGAAUCUGCCCUUGGGUUCGGAAUAACAGUUAGAAAUGACUGCUAAUACCGGAUAAUGUCUUCGGACCAAAGAUUUAUCGCCCAGGGAUGAGCCCGCGUAGGAUUAGCUAGUUGGUGAGGUAAAGGCUCACCAAGGCGACGAUCCUUAGCUGGUCUGAGAGGAUGAUCAGCCACACUGGGACUGAGACACGGCCCAGACUCCUACGGAGGCAGCAGUGGGGAAUAUUGGACAAUGGCGAAAGCCUGAUCCAGCAAUGCCGCGUGAGUGAUGAAGGCCUAGGGUUGUAAAGCUCUUUUACCCCGGGAAGAUAAUGACUGUACCGGGAGAAGUAAGCCCCGGCUAACUACCGUGCCAGCAGCCGCGGUAAU